UCUUCCAGCAGGUCGAGGUUGGCUUUAAGACUUUGCAAAUUUUGAUGUUCGUCGAAUGCCACGACUCGUGCCGACGGGAGUUUAAGCUCAAUUGGGAUGAUGGCCUCCGUACCGAAGGCUAAAGCAAAGGGGGUCUCCCCUGUGGGCAGCCUCUGGGUAGUUCGAUACACCCACAACACAUGAUAAAGUUCGUCUGUCCAAGUUUCCUUCGCCUUUUCGAGCCUUGUCUUAAUCCCCUGCAGAAGGAUUCUGUUAGUUACCUCAGCUUCGCCGU
RNAcentral lists this long non-coding RNA (274 nucleotides) under Elaeis guineensis (African oil palm). Its description in RNAcentral is "long non-coding RNA (EGUI_LNC082352)". The record is from RNAcentral. Lineage: Eukaryota; Viridiplantae; Streptophyta; Magnoliopsida; Arecales; Arecaceae.